Molecule: long non-coding RNA, 1481 nt
Organism: Microplitis demolitor
Lineage: Eukaryota; Metazoa; Arthropoda; Insecta; Hymenoptera; Braconidae
Product: putative cyclin-dependent serine/threonine-protein kinase DDB_G0272797/DDB_G0274007
Exons: 3
Source: RefSeq, a predicted model, not a curated record
UCAGUAAAUACACGUGAUUAUAUUUAACUUUAUUACCCGAGCGUGAGUCAGUUGAACUGCUAAAAAUUUGAUAAAUUACCGAUAAAAUUAUAUAGCAAUUAAAAGAAUCAAAUAUUGAUUAUUUUAGUAAGAUCCAGAUUGAAAAAAAGAUUCAAAAUGAUUCAAAGAUUUCAAAACGUUUCAGUUUUAACACUAUAUAUAUAUACUUUCAUUAUUGAAUAAAUCGUUUUGUUUAAUCAAGAUCUAUUGAUAAAAAUUAAACAUGUUUGGUAAUUAACAUCUGUCGGUAGCUGCAUCCUCAUUGUAAUAAAUUUCUUACAUUUCAAAUCAUGACAAUAGCUUGUAAAAAAUUACAAGUUAUUUUUGGAACCGACUGAUCAAAUAGGAAAUUCACCAAAAAUAUUCUACGGACAAACAUUAGAUAUAGCGUUGUUGUGCCCCAAGAGUGGGAGGUAUUAUUUAAUAAUGAUGAAGAUUUCUUCAGCCUCAUUCAAACUCAAGUGAAUGAUUACCACCAGCAGCAUGGGGCCGUGCUGGGGGCAAUGGUUACAAUUGAUAAUGUGGUCACAGAACUAAUUAUCAACGAUGUUUACCGUUUCUGGUGGUUCCGGAGUUAAAACGAACAUGGUGAUUUCCCCAACAAUUUCGUCGAUGAUGAACGUUUCCCCGUCAGAGACGGAAUUUAUUUUCCUCAUGAGAGAAGGCGAAUUAUUGUCGGGGAAAUCUCAUAUGAGGAUUAUAUUCCGCGCCCGUAUGCGGAAUUUUUCCGAUUCAACAUUGUCGAUUUAAAAAGAGAGCUCCACAGCCAAUUAUCCACUCAUUUACGAGUUUCCGGAACCCUGAACGGUGCCAAAAUAUUGAUCAAUGGUUUAAAGACCACUUUACACAUUAAUCAUCAUCGCAAGUUCUGGUGGUAUAGGGUGCAAGCCCAACUUUUGCCCGCAGUACGAGUUCAAUGGAGAGAUGCUGCUGCUAGUGCAGAACCAAAUGUUGCUGGAAUUAAUAAUAUUUUGGUGAUGGGGCCUGAAAUACCGCAACAACAAGAACAUCAGCACCAACAACACCAACCAGAACAGCAGCAACAACAACAACAGCUCCAGCAUCAACAACACCACCAACAACAACAACAACAACAGCAUCAACGACACCAUCCACAUCAACAUCAGCAAGCGCACCAACCCCAACCUCAACAGCAACAGCGACAACACAAUCCUCAACAACUGUUUCAACAAGCAGAAAUUGUGAGGAGAGCAAGAGCGAGUUAUUAUAGAGAGCUGAGAAUAUUUCAACAAAUGCAGCAGCAACUGCAGGGUGCUCCUGCUGCUGUUGAAGAGAUGCAGCGAAGGGCAUCACCACCACCACGACCACCACCACCACCACCACCACCACCACCACCACCACCAGCAUCACCAGACAACGACUUUGAUGCAGGUCGGUUGGUGGUACCGAUGGAAAUUCCUCCACCUCAUCCUGAGGAUUGA